GGCAGUUCUCAGGUGACGCACCCUGGAAUUGGGCUCCCUCCUCUCUGGUUCCAGGUGUGUCACCCAAGAACCACA
Myotis brandtii (Brandt's bat) is the source of this 75-nucleotide non-coding RNA. The record is from Rfam. Lineage: Eukaryota; Metazoa; Chordata; Mammalia; Chiroptera; Vespertilionidae.